This 75-nucleotide transfer RNA is filed under the name Deltaproteobacteria bacterium. RNAcentral's name for it is "tRNA-Gly". It matches the Rfam family "tRNA". From Rfam's summary of the family: Transfer RNA (tRNA) molecules are approximately 80 nucleotides in length. The record is from RNAcentral. Lineage: Bacteria; Pseudomonadati; Myxococcota; Myxococcia.
GCGGGAAUAGCUCAGUGGUAGAGCAUCAGCCUUCCAAGCUGAGGGCCGCGGGUUCGAUCCCCGUUUCCCGCUCCA